This 395-nucleotide ribosomal RNA is filed under the name uncultured bacterium. RNAcentral's name for it is "bacterial SSU rRNA". It matches the Rfam family "Bacterial small subunit ribosomal RNA", at positions 505 to 898 of the family's 1533-position model. The record is from RNAcentral.
GUGUCAGCAGCCGCGGUAAUACGUACCGGACAAACGUUAUUCGGAAUCACUGGGCUUAAAGAGUUCGUAGGCGGCUUUGCAGGUGAGGUGUGAAAUCCCACGGCUCAACCGUGGAAUUGCGCUUCAAACCGCAAAGCUUGAGGGAGACAGGGGUGAGUGGAACUGAUGGUGGAGCGGUGAAAUGCGUUGAUAUCAUCAGGAACACCAGUGGCGAAGGCGACUCACUGGGUCUCUUCUGACGCUGAGGAACGAAAGCUAGGGGAGCAAACGGGAUUAGAUACCCCGGUAGUCCUAGCUGUAAACGAUGAGCACUAGAUCGUGGGGGCUUCCACACCCUCUCGGUCGUAGCGAAAGUGUUAAGUGCUCCGCCUGGGGAGUAUGGUCGCAAGGCUGAA